GCCAUAGUCGUCUAGGGGUCAGGACACUAGUUUGUGGAUACCAAUUCGCAAACCACUGGAAACCGAGGUUCGAGUCCUCGCUACGGCA
This 88-nucleotide transfer RNA is filed under the name [Torrubiella] hemipterigena. RNAcentral's name for it is "Torrubiella hemipterigena tRNA". It matches the Rfam family "tRNA". Rfam says of the family: Transfer RNA (tRNA) molecules are approximately 80 nucleotides in length. Their secondary structure includes four short double-helical elements and three loops (D, anti-codon, and T loops). Further hydrogen bonds mediate the characteristic L-shaped molecular structure. tRNAs have two regions of fundamental functional importance: the anti-codon, which is responsible for specific mRNA codon recognition, and the 3' end, to which the tRNAs corresponding amino acid is attached (by aminoacyl-tRNA synthetases). tRNAs cope with the degeneracy of the genetic code in two manners: having more than one tRNA (with a specific anti-codon) for a particular amino acid; and 'wobble' base-pairing, i.e. permitting non-standard base-pairing at the 3rd anti-codon position. Lineage: Eukaryota; Fungi; Ascomycota; Sordariomycetes; Hypocreales; Clavicipitaceae. The record is from Rfam by way of RNAcentral.